RNAcentral lists this small RNA (340 nucleotides) under Pongo abelii (Sumatran orangutan). RNAcentral's name for it is "processed transcript". The record is from RNAcentral. Lineage: Eukaryota; Metazoa; Chordata; Mammalia; Primates; Hominidae.
CGCAGGGGCCGCGGCCAGCCGGGCGCUGCAGCAGUGCGGGCAGCUACAGAAGCUCAUCGACAUCUCCAUCGGCAGCCUGCGCGGGCUGCGCACCAAGUGCGCUGUGUCCAACGACCUCACCCAGCAGGAGAUACGGACCCUGGAGGUGACUGGACUGAUGUUCUGUUCUAGAUGAAACUCCUUGAGGGGACCAUUUGAAAAGGCUUGAUGUGCUGCCCAAAGCCCCCUUCAGAGCUGACUUCACCCCCAGCUGCUGUGAGCCUUGGCCGCUGACAGCUCAUAGCUGAGUCCCUCCCAUGAAGUCACCUUCUGCUGAAGGGCACAUCCUCUCCCAAGGUGA